CGAAGGGGGCAAGCGUUGUUCGGAAUUACUGGGCGUAAAGGGCGCGUAGGCGGCUUAUCAAGUCAGGCGUGAAAUUCCCGGGCUCAACCUGGGGGCUGCGCUUGAUACUGAUGAGCUUGAAUGCGGGAGAGGAUAGUGGAAUUCCCAGUGUAGAGGUGAAAUUCGUAGAUAUUGGGAAGAACACCAGUGGCGAAGGCGGCUAUCUGGCCCGUAAUUGACGCUGAGGCGCGAAAGCGUGGGGAGCAAACAGGAUUAGAUACCCUGGUAGUCCACGCCGUAGACGAUGAAUGCUAGACGUUGGCGAGCAUGCUCGUCAGUGUCGGAGCUAACGCAUUAAGCAUUCCGCCUGGGGAGUACGGUCGCAAGAUUA
Molecule: ribosomal RNA, 370 nt
Filed under: uncultured organism
Description: bacterial SSU rRNA
Rfam family: Bacterial small subunit ribosomal RNA
Source: RNAcentral